CUGAUUGUAAUUAUUUUAGUAAUAAUAUAAUAAAUUACGAAACGAAACAUUUCAGCUCUUCUUUCUUGCAUUAUUUGCAGCCCUAAAAUGAUAUAUUGAACGUGGUCCUCUAAUAAUAUUUUUUUAACGUGGCCCACUAGUUGAAAUGGUGCUCUAUUGGGCUAGAAUUUAUAUAUACAAACAAAUAAUAAUAGAUAUCAAAAGUUGAUUAAUAAUUUAUUCAUUAUUUAUACUUUAAACCGCAAAUUUGAGUCAAUUAUGUCUUUAAGACAUUUUUUUAAGUUUCUUAUAAGGGUAUGGAUGGAGAUGCAUAGUUGUAGGUAUAAGUCCUAUGGUUUUUGUAAUGGGCCAAAUCUGCCCGGGCCCAUGUAAAAACAAAACAAACAAAAACACAAAAAAUAUAUAAAGCCCAAUACAUGACCCAAAAAACCAAACUUAAUAUCCUAGCCCAAUAAGCCCAAUCCCGAAUAGCCCAAAAAGCCCCAAAACUUCAACACUUUCGGGAACCCUAGGUCACCCUCUUGCGCCGCAACAGCCUCGCAACGACCGUAUCACCUCCGUACCCUAGCCUAGACCCGUACCCGAGCGCCAACGCACAGCCCCGUGCUCCGUACCUGCAAAAGAAAACAAACGAAAGCAGCAACAAGCCAAUACAAAAGCAGAGGACAAAAAUUGUUGUUUUCUUUAGUUAUUCGGCUAUAAAGCCUUUGAUUUUCGAUUGUAAAAGGGGACUCCUUUUUUAAAAACGGAAUAUACGCACAAAAAAAAACUCAUUCGCAUAUUGAAUAGAAAGAGAUAGCAAAGAAAAGGUGAUUUGAAACGCAUUAUAUUUUUGUUCUUCAAAUCUCCUUCGUCUUUUUUUCUUUUCGUUUUGUUUUUUCUAGUAUAAUGAAAUAAAGUAGCUAUUUUACCUCGUGAAAGUAUCAUGGAUUCCGUCUGCUUCGUCGAUAUCGGAGUGUAGAAGCUAUUCCACGGUCGAAAUUGUCGCCCCUUUGAAGCUCGAAUCUGUUCGUCACCACUGAUAGGAGCAGAUCGGCGCUUAGAGGGAUAGUUUUAGGGGCGAAUGUGGAGGAAAUAAAAAGAGAUCUAGGGUUUGCUAAAUGAGAAGAAAGGGGGGCUAGGGUGAUUCGGCCAAAUUUGGCUUAUUUUUAGCCUUUUUAAAAGAGUAAAAACGACGCCGUUCAAAGGGGGAAGGGUUCGCGCGUCAACCCGCUCCAGGACCCGUACCCACGCCCUUAUACUUCAAAUGGGUUAUUUACGAUAAAAGUCCUUCCCUUUUGCAUGGUUAUUCGAUUACAUGCAAUUUGCUUUAUUUCUUUUUUUGAAUUUAGUUCGGCAAUUUUGGCGUGUUUGCGCUUUGGUCCGUGCCUCUGUGCUGCGUUUUAGAGCUGGGUUUAUUCUCAGUUCUGGUCCCUGUAUGCUGGCGCGCUUCGCGCAUUGGUCCUUCGUGGAAUGUUUUAUUCGCAAAUCAGCCGUUUUUUUGUUUUAAUUUUAUUUGAACUAAUUUACCCAUACACUCAUGUAUUUUAAUAUGCUUUGUAUGUUUCGUAUAAAUGUUUUAUGUGUGCUAUUUUAUGUAUACAUAUAUACACGUAUAUAGUUUGUACUAAAGCUUUGUUAUAAAUGUAUAUAUAUACUAUUUUCAAUUUCA
This 1651-nucleotide long non-coding RNA is filed under the name Gossypium barbadense (sea-island cotton). RNAcentral describes it as "long non-coding RNA (GBAR_LNC008860)". The record is from RNAcentral. Lineage: Eukaryota; Viridiplantae; Streptophyta; Magnoliopsida; Malvales; Malvaceae.